Molecule: ribosomal RNA, 490 nt
Filed under: uncultured bacterium
Lineage: Bacteria
Description: partial 16S ribosomal RNA
Rfam family: Bacterial small subunit ribosomal RNA
Source: RNAcentral
GAUGAACGCUAGCUACAGGCUUAACACAUGCAAGUCGCAGGGUAACAUGAGGAAAGCUUGCUUUCCUUGAUGACGACUGGCGCACGGGUGAGUAACGCGUGUCCAACCUUCCCAUAACUACGGGAUAACCCGUUGAAAGACGGCCUAAUACCGUAUGACAUCGUUUGCUGACAUCAAAUAACGAUUAAAGGUUUAGCGGUUAUGGAUGGGGAUGCGUCUGAUUAGCUUGUUGGCGGGGUAACGGCCCACCAAGGCGACGAUCAGUAGGGGUUCUGAGAGGAAGGUCCCCCACAUUGGAACUGAGACACGGUCCAAACUCCUACGGGAGGCAGCAGUGAGGAAUAUUGGUCAAUGGGCGAGAGCCUGAACCAGCCAAGUAGCGUGCAGGAUGACGGCCCUAUGGGUUGUAAACUGCUUUUAUGUGGGGAUAAAGUGCGUGACGUGUCAUGCAUUGCAGGUACCACAUGAAUAAGGACCGGCUAAUUCCGUG